GGUCUGGUGUUCAAUCUACAGAAUAGGAAAUACUUGGCAGUUUUAAGUUCUCCAACAAUAUAAUUCUUGACAUUUUUUGAUAUCUAUGAAA
This is a long non-coding RNA of Octopus sinensis (East Asian common octopus), 91 nucleotides long. RefSeq lists it as uncharacterized. The record is from RefSeq and is a predicted model, not a curated record. The transcript is spliced from 3 exons. NCBI's taxonomy places the organism in Eukaryota, Metazoa, Mollusca, Cephalopoda, Octopoda, Octopodidae.